AUGGUAAUUGUGGGCAACCAUUUCAAUGCCUCUGUCAAGAUUGUUUGUGUUUUUUCAGAACAUGGGGCAGCCUUAGAUCACAUUUAUCAAGAGAUCAAACUUAGAAAACCUCCAGAUUUGCAGAAAGUUUUUAUUUUACUUGUCCUUGUUGCAAUGCCAUGACAAUUUCCAUAGAAAUAAAAAAAAAAAAACACGAAACUGUCAUCUGUGUAUUUCAGAACUGCAAUUUCAGAACUAACAUUUAUGGUACAUUUGCUUCCCACAGAAGCCGAAAACAUACUCCUCACUCAUUGCAUGACUUCAAGGCAGACAUAAUAAAAAGGUAUGUAUGUUCAUUCAAUGCAGAUCAACACAGUGAUGUGGAAGGUCAAAGUGGGGAGCUGUCUGAUGAAGGUCAAGAUGACAAUAAUGAUGUGACAGACCUGCCAAACUGCAUAGAAAAAAAAUGGCUUUGUUGUUUCUAAAACUGGAGAGCACUUUUAAUGUAUCUUACAGGUGUAUAGAAGAGGUUGUUAAAGAGUUAAAUUUUAUAAUCUCGAUCAGCAUCUGGACCCAUCAUCAAAGUUGUUGCAGAUAAAAUGGGCAAGAAAUAAGGGAUAUCUUGGAGCGCUGGCCUGCAUUAUCAGAUGCAACACAGGUAAGUUUAGUUUUAUUUUUAGUCUAGUUUCACAAUUUUGCGAGAAAAUCAUCUUGAAGUUAUUUAUGCUAAAAACUUCUUACAACAAUAACAUAUUACAUGUUAUUUGUUGUGUUACACAUUGUAUGCAAUUAUUCCAUUAUUUAAUUAUUCUAUUUUUUCUACAGAUAAAUGAAGAACUCAAGAGGAUAACCACUGUAGGUCUUGAAUCCACAUUUAUAGCCAAACUUGACAAAUGCACCGCAAAACUAAUGGACCUGGCCUCAUCAAGGGGAGGAGCUAAAGGGGAAAGAAUCAGAAGGAUUAAGGAUAUGCUUCUUGAGAACAAUGCAGUUGAAGUAUGGAGAGAAGUAGCCAUUCACUGUCUUGUUGUCUAACUUGGAGAGAAAGAAGAGGAUCUUUUUAAGGAGUUUGCUAAUACACAAGAAUCAUUGGUGAUCUGUCAACUAUGGAAUUAAACCACAAGACGGGAACCAUCAUUGUUGAGGGAAUCAGAAUCCUGAUUGGAAUGGAUAUCUCAAGGUGUUGUGCUCUGCUGAUAAUAUGUGCUCUGAAUCUGAGCUACCCCAAGGAGCUUAAAUAUACUUGUUAAGUGUUUCAUAAGCUGUUUCUUGAACUUGAUGGACUGAAGCCCAGUGCAAAAGUAAUGCCUCUCAAGAACAGCAUUUUCUGAAGCCUCUACUUAUUUCAAAGUACAUUUAGCUCUUUAUGUUGCAACUAUAUUGUUUUGUAUUUUGAAGUCCACAUGCUGAUCUUUUUAUUUCAUACUGUUUAUAUGAAUGGUGGCAUUUACAUAUGUUUGUUUAUAAUAAUACAAAUGUUACAUGUUUAACAAUUAAGGUUAGCUAAUAACAAGUAGUUUGUAAAAUGUACAAUUUAUAAGUUAAUAGUUAGCUUUAAGUGUAUCAAUGCCUAUAACUCUUGUUUUGUUGGAAUUCAUUGUGAUGGCAUAGCUAUGCAUGCAUGCACAUUUUUGAAGGCAAAGCUGACGGGUAAGUUUGUUUAUAAUUUGUGAGACAGUACACAUUUGUGUUUUGUAAACUUUGAGAAGUGCAAUAUUUAAAAUAAAACACUGAAAACUGUGUUUCUAAAUAAAUAAAAAGUUACUGAAAUUAAAA
Molecule: non-coding RNA, 1755 nt
Organism: Danio rerio (zebrafish)
Lineage: Eukaryota; Metazoa; Chordata; Actinopteri; Cypriniformes; Danionidae
Source: RefSeq, a predicted model, not a curated record